CCUACGGGUGGCAGCAGUGGGGAAUAUUGGGCAAUGGGCGCAAGCCUGACCCAGCAACGCCGCGUGAAGGAAGAAGGCUUUCGGGUUGUAAACUUCUGUUAAGCGGGAAGAGCAGAAGACGGUACCUCUUGAAUAAGCCACGGCUAACUACGUGCCAGCAGCCGCGGUAAUACGGAGGUGGCAAGCGUUUUCCGGAUUUACUGGGUGUAAAGGGCGUGCAGCCGGGAAGACAAGUCAGCUGUGAAAUCCCGCGUCUCAACCGCGGAACUACAUUUGAAACUGUUUUUCUUGAGGGAUGGAGAGGCAGGCGGAAUUCCGUGUGUAGCGGUGAAAUGCGUAGAUAGCACGCAGAACACCGAUGGCGAAGGCAGCAUACCGGCGCCCAACUGACGCUGAAGCACGAAAGCGUGGGUAUCGAACAGGAUUAGAUACCCCUGUAGUC
RNAcentral lists this ribosomal RNA (442 nucleotides) under uncultured bacterium. RNAcentral describes it as "partial 16S ribosomal RNA". It matches the Rfam family "Bacterial small subunit ribosomal RNA", at positions 338 to 795 of the family's 1533-position model. The record is from RNAcentral.